GAACGCUAGCUACAGGCUUAACACAUGCAAGUCGAGGGGCAGCAUGGUCUUAGCUUGCUAAGGCCGAUGGCGACCGGCGCACGGGUGAGUAACGCGUAUCCAACCUGCCUUACACUCUUGGACAGCCUUCUGAAAGGGAGAUUAAUACAAGAUGUUAUCAUGAGUAAGCAUUUUCGCAUGAUUAAAGGUUUACCGGUGUAAGAUGGGGAUGCGUUCCAUUAGAUAGUAGGCGGGGUAACGGCCCACCUAGUCUUCGAUGGAUAGGGGUUCUGAGAGGAAGGUCCCCCACAUUGGAACUGAGACACGGUCCAAACUCCUACGGGAGGCAGCAGUGAGGAAUAUUGGUCAAUGGACGAGAGUCUGAACCAGCCAAGUAGCGUGAAGGAUGAAGGUUCUAUGGAUUGUAAACUUCUUUUAUACGGGAAUAAACGAAUCCACGUGUGGAUUUUUGCAUGUACCGUAUGAAUAAGGAUCGGCUAACUCCGUGCCAGCAGCCGCGGUAAUACGGAGGAUCCGAGCGUUAUCCGGAUUUAUUGGGUUUAAAGGGAGCGUAGAUGGGUUGUUAAGUCAGUUGUGAAAGUUUGCGGCUCAACCGUAAAAUUGCAAUUGAUACUGGCAGUCUUGAGUACAGUUGAGGUAGGCGGAAUUCGUGGUGUAGCGGUGAAAUGCUUAGAUAUCACGAAGAACUCCGAUUGCGAAGGCAGCUUACUAACCUGUAACUGACAUUGAUGCUCGAAAGUGUGGGUAUCAAACAGGAUUAGAUACCCUGGUAGUCCACACGGUAAACGAUGAAUACUCGCUGUAGGCGAUAUACAGUCUGCGGCCAAGCGAAAGCAUUAAGUAUUCCACCUGGGGAGUACGCCGGCAACGGUGAAACUCAAAGGAAUUGACGGGGGCCCGCACAAGCGGAGGAACAUGUGGUUUAAUUCGAUGAUACGCGAGGAACCUUACCCGGGCUUAAAUUGCAACCGAAUAUGGCGGAAACGCUAUAGCUAGCAAUAGCGGUUGUGAAGGUGCUGCAUGGUUGUCGUCAGCUCGUGCCGUGAGGUGUCGGCUUAAGUGCCAUAACGAGCGCAACCCUUGCCGAUAGUUACUAACAGGUCAUGCUGAGGACUCUGUCGGGACUGCCAUCGUAAGAUGUGAGGAAGGUGGGGAUGACGUCAAAUCAGCACGGCCCUUACGUCCGGGGCUACACACGUGUUACAAUGGGGGGUACAGAGGGCUGCUACCACGCAAGUGGAUGCCAAUCCCAAAAACCUCUCUCAGUUCGGAUUGAAGUCUGCAACCCGACUUCAUGAAGCUGGAUUCGCUAGUAAUCGCGCAUCAGCCACGGCGCGGUGAAUACGUUCCCGGGCCUUGUACACACCGCCCGUCAAGCCAUGGGAGCCGGGGGUACCUGAAGUGCGUAACCGCAAGGAGCGCCCUAGGGUAAAACUGGUGACUGGGGCUAAG
RNAcentral lists this ribosomal RNA (1452 nucleotides) under uncultured organism. RNAcentral describes it as "SSU rRNA". It matches the Rfam family "Bacterial small subunit ribosomal RNA". The record is from RNAcentral.